Molecule: ribosomal RNA, 252 nt
Filed under: uncultured bacterium
Lineage: Bacteria
Description: partial 16S ribosomal RNA
Rfam family: Bacterial small subunit ribosomal RNA
Source: RNAcentral
UACGUAGGUGGCAAGCGUUGUCCGGAAUUAUUGGGCGUAAAGCGCGCGCAGGCGGUUCUUUAAGUCUGAUGUGAAAGCCCACGGCUCAACCGUGGAGGGUCAUUGGAAACUGGGGAACUUGAGUACAGAAGAGGAAAGCGGAAUUCCACGUGUAGCGGUGAAAUGCGUAGAGAUGUGGAGGAACACCAGUGGCGAAGGCGGCUUCUGGUCUGUAACUGACGCUGAGGCGCGAAAGCGUGGGGAGCAAACAGG